GGGGGCCCGCAAGCGGUGGAGCAUGUGGUUUAAUUCGAUGCAACGCGAAGAACCUUACCUGCUCUUGACAUCCACGGAAGACUGCAGAGAUGCGGUUGUGCCUUCGGGAACCGUGAGACAGGUGCUGCAUGGCUGUCGUCAGCUCGUGUUGUGAAAUGUUGGGUUAAGUCCCGCAACGAGCGCAACCCUUAUCCUUUGUUGCCAGCGAUUCGGUCGGGAACUCAAAGGAGACUGCCGGUGAUAAACCGGAGGAAGGUGGGGAUGACGUCAAGUCAUCAUGGCCCUUACGAGCAGGGCUACACACGUGCUACAAUGGCGCAUACAAAGAGAAGCGACCUCGCGAGAGCAAGCGGACCUCAUAAAGUGCGUCGUAGUCCGGAUCGGAGUCUGCAACUCGACUCCGUGAAGUCGGAAUCGCUAGUAAUCGUGGAUCAGAAUGCCACGGUGAAUACGUUCCCGGGGCCUUGUACACACC
This 475-nucleotide ribosomal RNA is filed under the name uncultured bacterium. RNAcentral describes it as "bacterial SSU rRNA". It matches the Rfam family "Bacterial small subunit ribosomal RNA", at positions 915 to 1391 of the family's 1533-position model. The record is from RNAcentral.